GUUUUACAGUACCUGUCGGUCCUAGUCCUCUUUUGCAGGAGAAAGGGAAGCAGGAAAAUAUGGAGGAGAAUAAUAAAGGUUGCGGGUUUGAUAUUUUGGACAUUGGAUGUUCAGGGAUAAAUGAGGUUGUCAUAACACCAAAUCAACAAAAGAUGAAAUGGAAGCAUUUAAGCACUCUGCCCUGUGGAUUACCUGUGUGGUUUGAAAAUAACAGAAGAAAGAAGAUGGAAGAAUAUUUAUGUGAAGCAGACAAACUCAAGAUACAUGCCUUUAAUAAUACCCAAGGCUUUUGGCCUCGUGAAAAAGAAAUUGAGAAUGCAAUGGUAGCUGAAUUAUGUGCUGUUCAAACAUCAAUAAAAGUUGAACGCAAUCCAAAAACAGGAAAACUGAGAGGCUUCAAUGAGGUUUUCAGUUUGGAAUCAAGCAGUUCAGGGAGUAGCUCCAUGGCCUUGAACAGGCAGCCCUGUGCGUUAUCUGAACCAAUCAAAGGAAAAUCAACGAACUUUCCAUUUUUUCCUGGUGGUAUGGAUCACCUAGAAACUAAAAGGAUAGAGGAAGACUCAGCAGAGUUGAAUUUUGUCACAGGGUUGCUAGACACUCCUCCAGGCUUCGACGGUCACAUCAAAUUUGAUGAUGACAAAAGCAGAACAGCACCAGGUGAAGUGCAAGAUUUUAUAGUUUCUGAUGUUCAGUCAUAUACAGAUCUGGAGGAUCUAGAGUAUAGCGACCACGAUAACAGUGAUGAUGAAUGUGAUGAUAAGCAAACUGUGGACGAAAAAGAGGAAAAAGAAGAUUUAGGUUUGGCGUCUGAAAAGACAGCUGAGCCUGAGCAAGAGAAGGAGAAGAAGGAGAAGUGGGCAUUCAUGAUUGAUGUAUCCAAGCCAGUGGUUGAUUUUCAUAAAAAAGUACUUAACAUGGCACAUAAGUGGGACUUUGAACCAGAUACGUUCCAGAAGCAAGCCAUUGUAAAACUGGAGUCGCAUGACAGUGUAUUUGUUGCUGCACAUACAUCUGCUGGCAAGACUGCAGUGGCAGAAUACGCCAUCGGCCUAGCAAACAGACACAAAACCAAGACAAUCUAUACCUCGCCCAUCAAAGCUCUUUCCAAUCAGAAGUUCCGUGAUUUCAAGAAGAAUUUAGUGCCAUCUCACCCAGAACUUGAUAUUGGUCUGAUCACGGGAGAUGUACAAAUCAAACCUGAAGCUGCCUGCCUAAUUAUGACCACGGAGAUAUUACGUUCAAUGCUAUACAAUGGAUCAGACGUUAUACGCGAUGUAGAAUGGGUAAUAUUUGAUGAAGUUCACUACAUCAACGACCCAGAGAGAGGAGUGGUAUGGGAAGAGGUAAUUAUCAUGUUACCUGAUCACGUGAGUAUCAUUUUACUCUCAGCGACGGUGCCAAACACUUUGGAGUUCGCCGACUGGAUUGGGCGUACAAAGCGCAAGAAGAUCUAUGUGAUCAGUACUCCCAAACGACCUGUUCCUUUAGAACAUUUCUUAUAUACUGGCAAUAGCAACAAAACAAGCUCGGAGAUGUUCGUCUUGCUCGACCAGAACAAUGUUUUUCAAACACGGGGUUAUCAAAUGGCCGCUGAUUCAAUAAAAGAACGCUCGUCCAAAGGAAAAGAGAUGAGUGGUGCAAAGGGAGGAAGAAGUCAUAUGAAUCUUAAAUCUGAGAAAAAUAUCUGGCUAUCCUUGGUCACGAUGCUGGAGAAGAAGGAAAAGCUACCGGUCGUAGCGUUCACGUUUUCUAGGAAAAAAUGUGAUGAUAAUGCGGAUCAGUUAGGUAAUUUGAACCUGAUAACAUCUCUAGAAAGAAGUAAAACCCAAGUUCUAAUGCAAAAGUAUCUCGCAAAGCUGAAGGGAGGAGAUAGGACGCUACCACAGGUUGUAAGAAUGCAAGAACUUCUGAAGCGUGGUAUUGGAGUGCACCACAGUGGCAUAUUACCAAUCCUAAAAGAGGUCAUUGAAAUUCUCUUUCAAGAAGGCCUUGUAAAACUUCUGUUUGCCACAGAGACUUUCGCCAUGGGGGUUAACAUGCCCGCGCGAACCGUCGUUUUCGACUCUAUUAGAAAACAUGACGGAUCUUCUUUUAGGAAUUUGCUACCUGGUGAGUAUGUUCAAAUGGCUGGUAGAGCAGGACGUCGUGGUAAGGACAUCACUGGCACCGUUAUUAUACUGUGUAAAGGAGACGUCCCUGAGAUGGCUGAACUGUAUUCAAUGAUGCUAGGUAAGCCUAUUUCACUCCACUCACAAUUUCGCUUAACGUACUCCAUGAUUCUAAAUCUUCUCCGGGUGGAGCAGCUCAGAGUUCAGGAAAUGAUGAAAAGGAGCUUCGCAGAAUUUAAUGCUCAUCGUGACGCAGAAACAAUUAAACACGAGGCUGAGAAAUUGGAGGCAAAGCUAUCGAAGAUAGAGAGUGUGGACUGCUUACUUUGUAACAAGGAUCUAAUGAGUUACCACCAAGCCUUGAGUGAACUUACCGUACUGAGGGAACAAAUCAAGGUGGCAGUUCUUUCAACUUCAUUUGCACAAAAAGCCCUGUUACCUGGUCGUAUCAUUACCCUAGAGACUCAUAACAAUCAAAAAGCACUAGCAAUUGUGCUUCAAGUUGAAUCCGACGGAUCUGGUAAAAAGCUCGUGGAUAAGUCGCUUACUGUACUCUCUAUUCUCGACAAUGGUACUGCAGGAGAUGCACUCAAAUCUAUUAAAUCCAUUAAAGAUGAAAAUCAUUUGGAACCACAUGUGAAGACAAAACUUCUUCUACCUGAAGGACCUUCCACCUACGACAUAUUUCAAAUUAGUGUGAUGGAUGUUUGUGACAUAACGACAAGUAAGAUGAAGAUUGAAGGCGAUAGAAUUAUACAGGAUCACAGAAAGAGAAUGCAGCCACGGUUUAGUAACGAUCCCCCUUCUCGUUCAACGGUUAUCGUACGGCAGGAACUUCUUCGUUUGAUAGAAGCCAACCCUGAAGGCCUCGAAGUAAUGGAUCCAAUUAAAGACUUCAACAUUCGCGACCUUGACUUGGUGGAUGUCCUUACUCGAAAGUGUUUUCUGGAAGAUUUACUGGGUACAUUCGUCUGCACCACAUGCCCAAAGCUGAAACAACAUGUACGUAUGUUAAUAGCCACUGAAGUGCACCCAAGUUCUCUCUUGUGCGAAACGAAAUUACUCUCAGAGAAAAUCUGAACCACUUACAGUUUCUGCUGUCAGAUGACAGUCUGCAACUUAUUAAAGAGUACAAUCAAAGAAUAGAGGUUCUGAAAAAACUUCGAUAUUUGGACACAAACAAUCGGGUACAAUUGAAAGGUCGCGUCGCUUGUGAAA
Molecule: unclassified non-coding RNA, 3326 nt
Filed under: Actinia tenebrosa (Australian red waratah sea anemone)
Lineage: Eukaryota; Metazoa; Cnidaria; Anthozoa; Actiniaria; Actiniidae
Description: helicase SKI2W-like, transcript variant X1
Source: RNAcentral